This 497-nucleotide ribosomal RNA is filed under the name uncultured bacterium. RNAcentral describes it as "partial 16S ribosomal RNA". It matches the Rfam family "Bacterial small subunit ribosomal RNA", at positions 28 to 507 of the family's 1533-position model. The record is from RNAcentral.
GAUGAACGCUGGCGGCGUGCCUAAUACAUGCAAGUCGAGCGAACGGACGAGAAGCUUGCUUUUCUGAUGUUAGCGGCGGACGGGUGAGUAACACGUGGAUAACCUACCUAUAAGACUGGGAUAACUUCGGGAAACCGGAGCUAAUACCGGAUAAUAUUUUGAACCGCAUGGUUCAAAAGUGAAAGACGGUCUUGCCGUCACUUAUAGAUGGAUCCGCGCUGCAUUAGCUAGUUGGUAAGGUAACGGCUUACCAAGGCAACGAUGCAUAGCUGACCUGAGAGGGUGAUCGGCCACACUGGAACUGAGACACGGUCCAGACUCCUACGGGAGGCAGCAGUAGGGAAUCUUCCGCAAUGGGCGAAAGCCUGACGGAGCAACGCCGCGUGAGUGAUGAAGGUCUUCGGAUCGUAAAACUCUGUUAUUAGGGAAGAACAUAUGUGUAAGUAACUGUGCACAUCUUGACGGUACCUAAUCAGAAAGCCACGGCUAACUACGUG